AUGAACGCUGGCGGCGUGCCUAAUCCCUGCAAGUCGAGCGAACGGACGAGAAGCUUGCUUCUCUGAUGUUAGCGGCGGACGGGUGAGUAACACGUGGAUAACCUACCUAUAAGACUGGGAUAACUUCGGGAAACCGGAGCUAAUACCGGAUAAUAUUUUGAACCGCAUGGUUCAAAAGUGAAAGACGGUCUUGCUGUCACUUAUAGAUGGAUCCGCGCUGCAUUAGCUAGUUGGUAAGGUAACGGCUUACCAAGGCAACGAUGCAUAGCCGACCUGAGAGGGUGAUCGGCCACACUGGAACUGAGACGCGGUCCAGACUCCUACGGGUGGCAGCAGUAGGGAAUCUUCCGCAAUGGGCGAAAGCCUGACGGAGCAACGCCGCGUGAGUGAUGAAGGUCUUCGGAUCGUAAAACUCUGUUAUUAGGGAAGAACAUAUGUGUAAGUAACUGUGCACAUCUUGACGGUACCUAAUCAGAAAGCCACGGCUAACUACGUG
This 496-nucleotide ribosomal RNA is filed under the name uncultured bacterium. RNAcentral describes it as "partial 16S ribosomal RNA". It matches the Rfam family "Bacterial small subunit ribosomal RNA", at positions 29 to 507 of the family's 1533-position model. The record is from RNAcentral.